GACGGGGGGGGCAAGUGUUCUUCGGAAUGACUGGGCGUAAAGCGCACGUAGGCGGCUUUGUAAGUCAGGGGUGAAAGCCUGGAGCUCAACUCCAGAACUGCCUUUGAGACUGCAUCGCUUGAAUCCGGGAGAGGUAAGUGGAAUUCCGAGUGUAGAGGUGAAAUUCGUAGAUAUUCGGAAGAACACCAGUGGCGAAGGCGGCUUACUGGACCGGAAUUGACGCUGAGGUGCGAAAGCGUGGGGAGCAAACAGG
RNAcentral lists this ribosomal RNA (253 nucleotides) under uncultured bacterium. RNAcentral describes it as "partial 16S ribosomal RNA". It matches the Rfam family "Bacterial small subunit ribosomal RNA", at positions 524 to 776 of the family's 1533-position model. The record is from RNAcentral.